RNAcentral lists this ribosomal RNA (380 nucleotides) under uncultured eukaryote. RNAcentral describes it as "partial 18S ribosomal RNA". It matches the Rfam family "Eukaryotic small subunit ribosomal RNA", at positions 592 to 976 of the family's 1831-position model. The record is from RNAcentral.
CAAUAGCGUAUAUUAAAGUUGUUGCAGUUAAAAAGCUCGUAGUUGGAUUUGUGGCGUACGGUGUGUUCCGGGCACUUGUUGUCUGAGUAACCUGCUGUUGCCAUCCUUGGGUGGAACCUGUGUGGCAUUAGGUUGUCGUGCAGGGGAUGCCCAUCAUUUACUGUGAAAAAAUUAGAGUGUUCAAAGCAGGCUUAUGCCGUUGAAUAUAUUAGCAUGGAAUAAUGAGAUAGUACUUUUUUGCUAUUUUGUUGGUUUGCGCAAGAAGGUAAUGAUUAAUAGGGACAGUUGGGGGUAUUCGUAUUCCAUUGUCAGAGGUGAAAUUCUUGGAUUUUUGGAAGACGAACUACUGCGAAAGCAUUUACCAAGGAUGUUUUCAUUAA